CAGUCGCCGCGGUAAUACGUAGGUGGCAAGCGUUGUCCGGAAUUAUUGGGCGUAAAGGGCUCGCAGGCGGUUUCUUAAGUCUGAUGUGAAAGCCCCCGGCUCAACCGGGGAGGGUCAUUGGAAACUGGGAAACUUGAGUGCAGAAGAGGAGAGUGGAAUUCCACGUGUAGCGGUGAAAUGCGUAGAGAUGUGGAGGAACACCAGUGGCGAAGCCGACUCUCUGGUCUGUAACUGACGCUGAGGAGCGAAAGCGUGGGGAGCGAACAGGAUUAGAUACCCCAGUAGUCCCUGUCUCUUAUAA
This 301-nucleotide ribosomal RNA is filed under the name uncultured bacterium. Its description in RNAcentral is "partial 16S ribosomal RNA". It matches the Rfam family "Bacterial small subunit ribosomal RNA", at positions 509 to 809 of the family's 1533-position model. The record is from RNAcentral.